AUACGUAGGGGGCGAGCGUUGUCCGGAAUGAUUGGGCGUAAAGGGCGCGUAGGCGGCGCGGUAAGUCUGGAGUGAAAGUCCUGCUUUCGAGGUGGGAAUUGCUUUGGAUCCUGCAGAGCUAGAGUGCGGCAGAGGUAAGGGGAAUUCCCAGUGACGCGGUGAAAUGCGUAGAGAUUGGGAGGAACACCAGUGGCGAAGGCGACUUACUGGGCCGUAACUGACGCUGAGGCGCGAAAGCGUGGGGAGCGAACAGGAUUAGAUACCCUGGUAGUCCACGCGGUAAACGAUGAAUGCUAGGUGUUGCGGGUAUCGACCCCUGCAGUGCCGGAGUAAACACAAUAAGCAUUCCGCCUGGGGAGUACGGCCGCAAGGUUGAAACUCAAAGGAAUUGACGGGG
Molecule: ribosomal RNA, 397 nt
Filed under: uncultured bacterium
Lineage: Bacteria
Description: partial 16S ribosomal RNA
Rfam family: Bacterial small subunit ribosomal RNA
Source: RNAcentral